Molecule: long non-coding RNA, 1922 nt
Organism: Chinchilla lanigera (long-tailed chinchilla)
Lineage: Eukaryota; Metazoa; Chordata; Mammalia; Rodentia; Chinchillidae
Source: Ensembl
GUUCCCGGCCCUUGGCUAGGUGUCACUGCUCACAUCCCUUCUUGGUGGGUUCCUGUGACACCAGAAUUGAAUUCACUUGGUGACUGUCACCUCUGAAGUCCUGGCUGGGACUGCCUCAGCCAGCGUCAGCCAAGCAAGCCUCAUUCUCCCCAGGCCUGAGCCUGCGUGAGCCCUAGGGAAGAGGCCCAUCCUGUGGCCGCUCCAACGGUGGGAUCCGGGGACACCAGGAAGGAGGCCUGCAGGCGGAGGAGCUGAGCAAUGGAAGCAAAUGCGUCUCUGGGUCACACCCGAAUGGGUGCCGCAUGCUGCAGAGACCGGACAGGCUGAGUGGGAGAGCGACCAGCACCAAGGCCCUGUAGACAUCAGCUUUGUGCUCACGUGUGUAGGAACCAAGGCUGCACCAUGUGGGGGUGAGGGUGGGCACUGUUCCAGUGAAGUCCGCAGACCCACGCCAGGACCCGGGCUGCAGAACUUGAUUCCUGGAGGGGCGGGAGACAGCAGCUGGCAGGAGGAUGCCCAGGACCCUGGGGGCCAAGGAUGGGAGAGGUGGCAGGACGUGGAGGCCCAGGGACAGCAUGUGCCACCCACAAUGCCUGCUUCCUGCAGAGAUGCAGCACCAGGAACAGAAUUGCAGCCAUGAAUCACAAACUCUGUAAUGUGCCGACAGAGCCUGUCCUUCUGAAAGCAACACCAAAAUCCAACUGAACAGGAAGGGCUCCUCCUGAACCGCAGCACGUCUUAUACUUCUUUGCUUAGCGAAACCAGCGACAGAAAUGUUGGUUAGCGCUGCUGCAACCUGUGUUGGUGAUCCCCACGAGUUCCCUAAACUUCUGGAACUUCAAAUCCAGAUGCAGGAGAUGAGGGCAGAGAGGACGCCCACUCCGGAAAUCACACCGAACUCCUUAAAAUUUGGAAAGCGUUCUGAUUUACCGCGACCCUGCUCGCUCCACGAGAGGUGUGGCUGCUGCUCUCACCGCAGUGUCUCUCUCCAGUGAACAGUGACAAGCGACUGGCGAGGCGUUGGCACCACAGCCUGCUGCCACCCGUGAGGAGAGCUCGGGGAGACCACUCAGCCAGGCGGGUGCACGGCACCUCUGAGUCAGCCGUCUCCUCGGCAUCUCUACCCCAUUUAUCAACACACAAUUACUGUCACCGCUGUGUUGCUGCUGGGUGCGAGGUUACGUGUGCCAGUCAGCAUAAAGAAAUGGCUGUAAUGUUGGCAUAAUUUUUCAUUAUCGUCUUCAUUAACCACAGUGAGUGGGAGGAAGAGCUUGCCUGUGCCCUGCCAUCGCCAUGACAACCCUUCCGAAGCCCGCUUGCCCAGUGUCCACGGCAGAGGAGUGGCUGAAUGUCCCCAUUAUUCUGCCCUCGCCCGCCUUGCCUGUGCCAAGGGAGGGAUGGACGCACGGGCGAGUGAUUUAUCCCCGCAUUCCUCCUGACAGCCUGGCAUGGUGUCGGGGCGUAAGGCGCUGGUCUGAUUUCACAGUUUAAUUACUGCUAAUCGGAGGGGGGCAGAGCUAAUGAGCCGCCAGCCUUUCAGAGAGUGCCAGGGAGCGCCCUGUCGGAGUCCCUGCCACCCACUCCUCCAGCAGCGCCCCUCCCCAGCCGGCAACUCCGCCUGCUUUAAGCAAGUGGCUCGCACUGGCUUUCGGGCACGGCAGAUGAUAAGCAAAUACGGAAAUACAAGGGCUGGAAACUGUGACUGCCUUAAUAACUGCAAGGCAGCACUGCGGACACCCGAGAGCUUUGCCAUUCCAAGCCCAGGACGGCUGAGCCUGCAGUGCUGGCCCCACUGAUCCGGGUCUCCAGGAGGCAGUGGGCAGGAGCUUCACCCUGGGCUCUCUUGAGUCUGUGCACAGCACCUCCCCACAGGAGCCUUCGCCAGGCUCUCAUCAGCACCCAGCCGGGGCCUCUCCGUGGGG